Molecule: ribosomal RNA, 432 nt
Filed under: uncultured bacterium
Lineage: Bacteria
Description: partial 16S ribosomal RNA
Rfam family: Bacterial small subunit ribosomal RNA
Source: RNAcentral
AACGAACGCUGGCGGCAGGCUUAACACAUGCAAGUCGAACGCACCUUUCGGGGUGAGUGGCAGACGGGUGAGUAACGCGUGGGAAUCUACCCUUCUCUACGGGAUAGCUCCGGGAAACUGGAAUUAAUACCGUAUACGUCCUGAGGGAGAAAGAUUUAUCGGGGAAGGAUGAGCCCGCGUUGGAUUAGCUAGUUGGUGGGGUAAAGGCCUACCAAGGCGACGAUCCAGAGCUGGUCUAAGAGGAUGAUCAGCCACAUUGGGACUGAGACACGGCCCAAACUCCUACGGGAGGCAGCAGUGGGGAAUAUUGGACAAUGGGCGCAAGCCUGAUCCAGCCAUGCCGCGUGAGUGAUGAAGGCCCUAGGGUUGUAAAGCUCUUUCAGUGGGGACGAUAAUGACGGUACCCACAGAAGAAGCCCCGGCUAACUUCGU